Molecule: ribosomal RNA, 253 nt
Filed under: uncultured bacterium
Lineage: Bacteria
Description: partial 16S ribosomal RNA
Rfam family: Bacterial small subunit ribosomal RNA
Source: RNAcentral
UACGAAGGGUGCAAGCGUUACUCGGAAUUACUGGGCGUAAAGGGUGCGUAGGCGGGUCUUUAAGUCAGGGGUGAAAUCCUGGAGCUCAACUCCAGAACUGCCUUUGAUACUGAGGAUCUUGAGUUCGGGAGAGGUGAGUGGAACUGCGAGUGUAGAGGUGAAAUUCGUAGAUAUUCGCAAGAACACCAGUGGCGAAGGCGGCUCACUGGCCCGAUACUGACGCUGAGGCGCGAAAGCUAGGGGAGCAAACGGG